GAUAAACGCUGGCGGCGCACAUAAGACAUGCAAGUUGAACGGACUUAAUCGAAAUAUUUAUAUUUUGAAGCGGUUAGUGGCGGACUGGUGAGUAACGCGUAAGGAACCUGCCUAUUAGAGGGGAAUAACAGUGAGAAAUCAUUGCUAAUACCGCAUAUGCCAUAGAUAUCACAUGAUAACAGUGGGCAAGGAGCAAUCCGCUAAUAGAUGGCCUUGCGUCUGAUUAGAUAGUUGGUGGGGUAACGGCCUACCAAGUCGACGAUCAGUAGCCGGACUGAGAGGAUGAGCUGCCACAUUGGGAGUGAGAUACGGCCCAGACUCCUACGGGAGGGAGCAGUCGGGAAUAGUGCGCAAGGGAGGAAACUCUGACGCAGUGACGCCGCGUAUAGGAAGAAGGUUUUCGGAUUGUAAACUAUUGUCGUUAGGGAAGAGAAAGGACAGUACCUAAGGAGGAAGCUCCGGCUAACUACGUG
Molecule: ribosomal RNA, 473 nt
Filed under: uncultured bacterium
Lineage: Bacteria
Description: partial 16S ribosomal RNA
Rfam family: Bacterial small subunit ribosomal RNA
Source: RNAcentral